This 484-nucleotide ribosomal RNA is filed under the name uncultured bacterium. RNAcentral's name for it is "partial 16S ribosomal RNA". It matches the Rfam family "Bacterial small subunit ribosomal RNA", at positions 28 to 507 of the family's 1533-position model. The record is from RNAcentral.
AUUGAACGCUGGCGGCAUGCUUUACACAUGCAAGUCGAACGGCAGCGCGGGCUUCGGCCUGGCGGCGAGUGGCGAACGGGUGAGUAAUGCAUCGGAACGUGCCCUGUAGUGGGGGAUAGCCCGGCGAAAGCCGGAUUAAUACCGCAUACGACCUGAGGGUGAAAGCGGGGGACCGAAAGUGCUCGCGCUUUUGGAGCGGCCGAUGUCGGAUUAGCUAGUUGGUGGGGUAAAGGCUUACCAAGGCGACGAUCCGUAGCUGGUCUGAGAGGACGACCAGCCACACUGGGACUGAGACACGGCCCAGACUCCUACGGGAGGCAGCAGUGGGGAAUUUUGGACAAUGGGGGCAACCCUGAUCCAGCCAUGCCGCGUGCGGGAAGAAGGCCUUCGGGUUGUAAAACGCUUUUGUUCGGGAAGAAAUACUCUGGGCUAAUACCCCGGGGGGAUGACGGUACCGGAAGAAUAAGCACCGGCUAACUACGUG